This 6832-nucleotide long non-coding RNA is filed under the name Triticum aestivum (bread wheat). RNAcentral's name for it is "long non-coding RNA (TAES_LNC021383)". The record is from RNAcentral. Lineage: Eukaryota; Viridiplantae; Streptophyta; Magnoliopsida; Poales; Poaceae.
ACUUGUUGUAGUUUGCUCGGUGCUUGAAAGUGGCUGGGUAAGUCCUGCUUUCAAAAGUAAGAAGUUCAGGCUCCGUCUUCUUGAACUGCAGAAUCCUAGCCUCCUCUCUCUGCUCCUCAAUAUACUCAGCUAAAUCAUUUCUCACAUUGCAGGGGAUGUACUGCAAACACAAUUAAUAUAUAACUCAAAUAAUCAACUCACAAGAAUAAACAAGCUACUCUAAUAAAAUACUAAAAACAUUAACUAGUAGCCACAAACAUAAAAUGCAGAAAGAUAACAUAUCAACCAAGCACUUUACAAUUAUAGAGCAUGAUGGUUUGCAAGAGAAAUCAAUAACCUAACAACUAGUAGACACGAAACCUUUAGCACAAAGUCAAAAACAUUUGGCAUAACAGUUAUUCGCACCAAGCCAAUUAUGCUACACAAUACUUCAAGGUAUAAGACAUGAAAACAUGCACAUAGCCAUACAUGCAUCAGUUGAUCAUAGCAUACACAUAAAUUAAUCAAAAAGAAAAGGAAUGCCUCAGUAAACACAUACACAUAAACUGAUAUAUGCAUAAAAUAAAAUAAUCCUAUAAAUGAAAAGAUAAAUACUACUCACCAUCCUAACCAAGCAAAUCUCAUCAAAACAAAACAUCAAAUAAUUCCUAAUCUAGAUGGGUAACUUAAAAGAAGAUAAGAUACAUAAAAAGAACCUCGCUAAUCUUGACUAAAUCUGAACAAAUUGAUACCAUAUGAAACUAAACUUGCACGAACAAAUUGAUACCAUAUGAAACUAAACUUGCAAAAUUUCCUCAAAAUAGCAAACUUAUACAUUAAUGCUUCAACUAUAUUUGCAACUUAAUAGCACAAUCAACCCAACUAGAAUAAAAACACAAUUUACUAACCAUGUGCCUAACGCAGUCCUGAUCAAGAACAACAUCAAAGCUGGCCACAUGAUGGCCACCAAGUGCACCUGGCACGCACGGAGCACCCGGGCAACGACACACAGGGCAGACCAUUCGUGCAACAAACAGAAUGAUUUUUUUGACAGAUUAGGAACAAAUACAAUAAAAUCAUACUACCACUACUUACAAGAAUGCUCAUAAAUAAUUGGAUUCAACAACUUCUUAAACUAAUCAAACAAAAAAACAAAGAUAUAAGCAUUUGGGAUAAAAAAGAUCAAACCUUAUACGCUCAACUAAAACCUACCCUACUUCAUAUAACUAUCAAUGAUUGUACACACACUGUAAACAGAAAAAAGGAAUCAUCUUUUCAUUAAAAAAUCCCUUAAAACACAUAUGCAACAACAAUAUAUAACUAAAAAGGCACUCCAAAUCCUAAAAACUGCAGUAUAGGACCUAUAAGUGCAUGAAUCAAUAUCCUCCACAUAACAGAGGCGGAUUGGAACAUGAAAGAAAGAAAGUUCAGAAAACCCUAACAAAUGUAAGGCUAACAAAGUCUACCACCAAACACUACACAUGCAAUCUAAGAAACCCUAGCACAAGGCCUCGAAAAAGAUUUGGCUAUCAUUCAGACAAAAGCUCAAAAAUAGAUGAGGCUAACAUCCCACUAAGCAUCAACAUGCGCACAGAUUGGAUUCCAACGAAUCAGCUAUGAAUUCAAGACCUCCAACGCCGCAGCCUAGAAAGCAGAAACCUUCCAAAGCAUCUUUUCAAGUGGCAGUCCUUGGUAGUUUACAAUCUCUCAGGCAUUGGGCCACUAGACUAACGCCUAUAAUUGACGACGACGCCGUCGAUGCUUUCUCCGACUGGACUCGAGGUAAAAGCGACAAUACUUCCAGGCCCUCAUCGGUGACCAAGCAGCCCUCUGGAGUCUGACACGCAGUUGACGACGAUGCCGCCGCCGCCGCCGUCCUGUCUGCUGUGGCUUAGCAUUUGAUUCGUCAUGCGAGGGAGUCCCUUCCUUUGGAGGCUCUGGACCCCGAGGUAGCAGCGACAACACUUCCAGAUCCUCGGUGUUGCGAAGCAAGGCGGCGACUGACGGGGCCGCAUCGUCGGUGACCAGGCAGCCCUCGAGGGUCAGCUGCCUGAGGUGGCGCAGCUCAAGUAGGACGCAUGAGAGCACGCUGCCCCCCUCCACUAGAAUCCACCUUGGUUAUAUCGUAACGGUUCUUAGGCGAAGCCCUGUUCCGGUAGCAACAUCAUCAUCGUCAUCACGCCGUCGUGCUGACGAAAUUCUCCCUCGAAGCUCUACUGGAUCGUGAGUUCGCGGGACGUCACCGAGCCGAACUUGUGCAGAUCGCAGAGGUGUCGUACCUUCGGUGCUAGAUCGGACGAUCGUGAAGACGUACGACUACAUCAACCGCGUUGUCAUAACGCUUCCGCUUACGGUCUACGAGGGUACGUAGAUGAUACUCUUCCCUCUCGUUGCUAUGCAUCACCAUGAUCUUGCGUGUGCGUAGGAAUUUUUCUUGAAAUUACUAUGUUCCCCAACAUUUAUAUCUCACAAGAACAAUACACUCAAUACAUCAGAGAAAGAUACUAACCAUGAUAUUCUUGAUUGUGUUAGUUGGAGUCAUGACAUGGACGAAAGGCACACACUACAGGAAAUUGCCCCCGAGUGGACAACGGAGGAAGUAGCAGUUCUGAUGGUUGCACACCAACCUGCGCAGCAAUACAGCAGAAAUAGCAUACUCAUAGUUGGCAUCGGACAGGUUUUCAAAAGCUACAGAAAAAGAAAAAACACAUCAGAUAAACAGUCUUGCAACUUGAAUAAUUAAUUAUCUAACAUUCAUGGAAGUUUCAAACAAACAUUGAGAUAGCUUACCAACACAAGGCAGAGGGAGGAUUCUAUCACCACCACGGUAGGUUUGGAUCUUCACAUCAAAAGUUAGAUGGUCCAGCGUAAAAACAACACGAUCUCCAGCACGUAGGCCGUAGUCAUGGGUGAACUGAAACCAGGAACUACCAACGAACUUGUUGUAGUUUGCUCGGUGCUUGAAAGUGGCUGGGUAAGUCCUGCUUUCAAAAGUAAGAAGUUCAGGCUCCGUCUUCUUGAACUGCAGAAUCCUAGCCUCCUCUCUCUGCUCCUCAAUAUACUCAGCUAAAUCAUUUCUCACAUUGCAGGGGAUGUACUGCAAACACAAUUAAUAUAUAACUCAAAUAAUCAACUCACAAGAAUAAACAAGCUACUCUAAUAAAAUACUAAAAACAUUAACUAGUAGCCACAAACAUAAAAUGCAGAAAGAUAACAUAUCAACCAAGCACUUUACAAUUGUAGAGCAUGAUGGUUUGCAAGAGAAAUCAAUAACCUAACAACUAGUAGACACGAAACCUUUAGCACAAAGUCAAAAACAUUUGGCAUAACAGUUAUUCGCACCAAGCCAAUUAUGCUACACAAUACUUCAAGGUAUAAGACAUGAAAACAUGCACAUAGCCAUACAUGCAUCAGUUGAUCAUAGCAUACACAUAAAUUAAUCAAAAAGAAAAGGAAUGCCUCAGUAAACACAUACACAUAAACUGAUAUGUGCAUAAAAUAAAAUAAUCCUAUAAAUGAAAAGAUAAAUACUACUCACCAUCCUAAUCAAGCAAAUCUCAUCAAAACACAACAUCAAAUAAUUCCUAAUCUAGAUGGGUAACUUAAAAGAAGAUAAGAUACAUAAAAAGAACCUCGCUAAUCUUGACUAAAUCUGAACAAAUUGAUACCAUAUGAAACUAAACUUGCACGAACAAAUUGAUACCAUAUGAAACUAAACUUGCAAAAAUUCCUCAAAAUAGCAAACUUAUACAUUAAUGCUUCAACUAUAUUUGCAACUUAAUAGCACAAUCAACCCAACUAGAAUAAAAACACAAUUUACUAACCAUGUGCCUAACGCAGUCCUGAUCAAGAACAACAUCAAAGCUGGCCACAUGAUGGCCACCAAGUGCACCUGACACGCACGGAGCACCCGGGCAACGACACACAGGGCAGACCAUUCGUGCAACAAACAGAAUGAUUUUUUUGACAGAUUAGGAACAAAUACAAUAAAAUCAUACUACCACUACUUACAAGAAUGCUCAUAAAUAAUUGGAUUCAACAACUUCUUAAACUAAUCCGACAAAAAAACAAAGAUAUAAGCAUUUGGGAUAAAAAAGAUCAAACCUUAUACGCUCAACUAAAACCUACCCUACUUCAUAUAACUAUCAAUGAUUGUACACACACUGUAAACAGAAAAAAGGAAUCAUCUUUUCAUUAAAAAAUCCCUUAAAACACAUAUGCAACAACAAUAUAUAACUAAAAAGGCACUCCAAAUCCUAAAAACUGCAGUAUAGGACCUAUAAGUGCAUGAAUCAAUAUCCUCCACAUAACAGAGGCGGAUUGGAACAUGAAAGAAAGAAAGUUUAGAAAACCCUAACAAAUGUAAGGCUAACAAAGUCUACCACCAAACACUACACAUGCAAUCUAAGAAACCCUAGCACAAGGCCUCGAAAAAGAUUUGGCUAUCAUUCAGACAAAAGCUCAAAAAUAGAUGAGGCUAACAUCCCACUAAGCAUCAACAUGCGCACAGAUUGGAUUCCAACGAAUCAGCUAUGAAUUCAAGACCUCCAACGCCGCAGCCUAGAAAGCAGAAACCUUGCAAAGCAUCUUUUCAAGUGGCAGUCCUUGGUAGUUUACAAUCUCUCAGGCAUUCGGCCACUAGACUAACGCCUAUAAUUGACGACGACGCCGUCGACGCUUUCUCCGACUGGACUCGAGGUAAAAGCGACAAUACUUCCAGGCCCUCAUCGGUGACCAAGCAGCCCUCUGGAGUCUGACACGCAGUUGACGACGAUGCCGCCGCCGCCGCCGCUGUCCUGUCUGCUGUGGCUUAGCAUUUGAUUCGUCAUGCGAGGGAGUCCCUUCCUUUGGAGGCUCUGGACCCCGAGGUAGCAGCGACAACACUUCCAGGUCCUCGGUGUUGCGAAGCAAGGCGGCGACCGACGGGGCCGCAUCGUCGGUGACCAGGCAGCCCUCGAGGGUCAGCUGCCUGAGGUGGCGCAGCUCAAGCAGGACGCAUGAGAGCACGCUGCCCCCCUCCACCAGAAUCCACCUCGGUUAUAUCGUAACGGUUCUUAGGCGAAGCCCUGUUCCGGUAGCAACAUCAUCAUCGUCAUCACGCCGUCGUGCUGACGAAACUCUCCCUCGAAGCUCUACUGGAUCGUGAGUUCGCGGGACGUCACCGAGCCGAACUUGUGCAGAUCGCGGAGGUGCCGUACCUUCGGUGCUAGAUCGGACGAUCGUGAAGACGUACGACUACAUCAACCGCGUUGUCAUAACGCUUCCGCUUACGGUCUACGAGGGUACGUAGAUGAUACUCUUCCCUCUCGUUGCUAUGCAUCACCAUGAUCUUGCGUGUGCGUAGGAAUUUUUCUUGAAAUUACUAUGUUCCCCAACAUUUAUAUCUCACAAGAACAAUACACUCAAUACAUCAGAGAAAGAUACUAACCAUGAUAUUCUUGAUUGUGUUAGUUGGAAUCAUGACAUGGACGAAAGGCACACACUGCAGGAAAUUGCCCCCGAGUAGACAACGGAGGAAGUAGCAGUUCUGAUGGUUGCACACCAACUUGCGCAGCAAUACAGCAGAAAUAGCAUACUCAUAGUUGGCAUCGGACAGGUUUUCAAAAGCUAUAGAAAAAGAAAAAACACAUCAGAUAAACAGUCUUGCAACUUGAACAAUUAAAAUAUCUAACAUUCAUGGAAGUUUCAAACAAACAUUGAGAUAGCUUACCAACACAAGGCAGAGGGAGGAUUCUAUCACCACCACGGUAGGUUUGGAUCUUCACAUCAAAAGUUAGAUGGUCCAGCGUAAAAACAACACGAUCUCCAGCACGUAGGCCGUAGUCAUGGGUGAACUGAAACCAGGAACUACCAACGAACUUGUUGUAGUUUGCUCGGUGCUUGAAAGUGGCUGGGUAAGUCCUGCUUUCAAAAGUAAGAAGUUCAGGCUCCGUCUUCUUGAACUGCAGAAUCCUAGCCUCCUCUCUCUGCUCCUCAAUAUACUCAGCUAAAUCAUUUCUCACAUUGCAGGGGAUGUACUGCAAACACAAUUAAUAUAUAACUCAAAUAAUAAACUCACAAGAAUAAACAAGCUACUCUAAUAAAAUACUAAAAACAUUAACUAGUAGCCACAAACAUAAAAUGCAGAAAGAUAACAUAUCAACCAAGCACUUUACAAUUAUAGAGCAUGAUGGUUUGCAAGAGAAAUCAAUAACCUAACAACUAGUAGACACGAAACCUUUAGCACAAAGUCAAAAACAUUUGGCAUAACAGUUAUUCGCACCAAGCCAAUUAUGCUACACAAUACUUCAAGGUAUAAGACAUGAAAACAUGCACAUAGCCAUACAUGCAUCAGUUGAUCAUAGCAUACACAUAAAUUAAUCAAAAAGAAAAGGAAUGCCUCAGUAAACACAUACACAUAAACUGAUAUAUGCAUAAAAUAAAAUAAUCCUAUAAAUGAAAAGAUAAAUACUACUCACCAUCCUAAUCAAGCAAAUCUCAUCAAACACAACAUCAAAUAAUUCCUAAUCUAGAUGGGUAACUUAAAAGAAGAUAAGAUACAUAAAAAGAACCUCGCUAAUCUUGACUAAAUCUGAACAAAUUGAUACCAUAUGAAACUAAACUUGCACGAACAAAUUGAUACCAUAUGAAACUAAACUUGCAAAAAUUCCUCAAAAUAGCAAACUUAUACAUUAAUGCUUCAAAUAUAUUUGCAACUUAAUAGCACAAUCAACCCAACUAGAAUAAAAACACAAUUUACUAACCAUGUGCCUAACGCAGUCCUGAUCAAGAACAACAUCAAAGCUGGCCACAUGAUGGCCACCAAGUGCACCUGGCACGCACGGAGCACCCGGGCAACGACACACAGGGCAGA